Molecule: ribosomal RNA, 425 nt
Filed under: uncultured bacterium
Lineage: Bacteria
Description: bacterial SSU rRNA
Rfam family: Bacterial small subunit ribosomal RNA
Source: RNAcentral
GUGGGGAAUAUUGGACAAUGGGCGCAAGCCUGAUCCAGCCAUGCCGCGUGAGUGAAGAAGGCCUUAGGGUUGUAAAGCUCUUUCAGCGGGGACGAUGAUGACGGUACCCGCAGAAGAAGCCCCGGCUAACUCCGUGCCAGCAGCCGCGGUAAUACGGAGGGGGCUAGCGUUGCUCGGAAUUACUGGGCGUAAAGGGCGCGUAGGCGGCUUAGUAAGUCAGGCGUGAAAGGCCCGGGCUCAACCCGGGAAUUGCGUUUGGGACUGCUAGGCUUGAGUUCGGGAGAGGGUAGUGGAAUUCCCAGUGUAGAGGUGAAAUUCGUAGAUAUUGGGAAGAACACCAGUGGCGAAGGCGGCUACCUGGACCGAUACUGACGCUAAGGCGCGAAAGCGUGGGGAGCAAACAGGAUUAGAUACCCGAGUAGUCC